GAGGACAGAGAAAUAGGCCUUUGGUGGCUGACCUUGGUGUGAGCGAGGACAUGGCGGAGAGACAGAAGCAGUUAGACAGAUCAAGAAUAGGAACAAAGGGGGUGGUAGAUAUUUUCCUGAGAGAGGUGAAAUUCAAUGACCAGGAAAAGAUAGACGAGAGCGAAAGCAUUCCACAAAGAUGUUUUCAUAGAUCAAGAACGAAAGUUGGGGGAUCGAAGACGAUCAGAUACCGUCGUAGUCUCAACCAUAAACGAUGCCSACUAGGGAUUGGAUGGUGGUGUGUGAGUGGUUGUGGU
RNAcentral lists this ribosomal RNA (296 nucleotides) under Endolimax nana. Its description in RNAcentral is "partial small subunit ribosomal RNA". It matches the Rfam family "Eukaryotic small subunit ribosomal RNA", at positions 821 to 1091 of the family's 1831-position model. The record is from RNAcentral. Lineage: Eukaryota; Evosea; Mastigamoebida; Endamoebidae.